UUAACUCAGUGGUAGAGUAACGCCGUGGUAAGGCGUAAGUCAUCGGUUCAAAUCCGAUA
RNAcentral lists this transfer RNA (59 nucleotides) under Tolypanthus maclurei. RNAcentral describes it as "tRNA-Met". It matches the Rfam family "tRNA", at positions 7 to 64 of the family's 71-position model. From Rfam's summary of the family: Transfer RNA (tRNA) molecules are approximately 80 nucleotides in length. Their secondary structure includes four short double-helical elements and three loops (D, anti-codon, and T loops). Lineage: Eukaryota; Viridiplantae; Streptophyta; Magnoliopsida; Santalales; Loranthaceae. The record is from RNAcentral.